Molecule: ribosomal RNA, 432 nt
Filed under: uncultured Acidobacteriota bacterium
Lineage: Bacteria; Pseudomonadati; Acidobacteriota
Description: bacterial SSU rRNA
Rfam family: Bacterial small subunit ribosomal RNA
Source: RNAcentral
CGGGGGGCAGCAGUCGGGAAUUUUGGGCAAUGGGCGAAAGCCUGACCCAGCAACGCCGCGUGAAGGAUGAAGUCUCUCGGGAUGUAAACUUCGUAAGAAUAGGAAGAAUGAAUGACGGUACUAUUUGUAAGGUCCGGCUAACUACGUGCCAGCAGCCGCGGUAAUACGUAGGGACCAAGCGUUGUUCGGAUUUACUGGGCGUAAAGGGCGCGUAGGCGGCAAUUCAAGUCAUCUGUGAAAUCUCCGAGCUUAACUCGGAACGGUCAGAUGAUACUGCUUUGCUAGAGUACAGAAGGGGCAAUCGGAAUUCUUGGUGUAGCGGUGAAAUGCGUAGAUAUCAAGAGGAACACCUGAGGUGAAGACGGGUUGCUGGGCUGAUACUGACGCUGAGGCGCGAAAGCUAGGGUAGCAAACGGGAUUAGAUACCCCGGU